Molecule: small RNA, 581 nt
Filed under: Pongo abelii (Sumatran orangutan)
Lineage: Eukaryota; Metazoa; Chordata; Mammalia; Primates; Hominidae
Description: processed transcript
Source: RNAcentral
CGACCUGGCCCUGCGGAACUGCCUGCUCACGGCUGACCUGACGGUGAAGAUUGGUGACUAUGGCCUGGCUCACUGCAAGUACAGAGAAGACUACUUCGUGACCGCCGACCAGCUGUGGGUGCCUCUGCGCUGGAUCGCGCCGGAGCUAGUGGACGAGGUGCACAGCAACCUGCUCGUCGUGGACCAGACCAAGAGCGGGAAUGUGUGGUCCCUGGGCGUGACCAUCUGGGAGCUCUUUGAGCUGGGCACGCAGCCCUAUCCCCAGCACUCGGACCAGCAGGUGCUGGCGUAUGCGGUCCGGGAGCAGCAGCUCAAGCUGCCCAAGCCCCAGCUGCAGCUGACCCUGUCGGACCGCUGGGCGCCACCGAAGCUGAAGAGGAGUUUGAACGGCGCUGGCGCUCUCUGCGGCCCGGCGGGGGCAGCGUGGGGCCCGGCCCCGGUGCGGUGGGGCCCAUGCUGGGCGGCGUGGUGGAGCUUGCCGCUGCCUCGUCCUUUCCGCUGCUGGAGCAGUUCGCGGGCGACGGCUUCCACGCGGACGGCGACGACGUGCUGACGGUGACGGAGACCAGCCGAGGCCUCAA